GAGCGGUAGUUGUAUCGGCUGUGAUAUGUUGUAUGAUUGGUUGUUGCUCACAUCACAGACCCGAUGCAGCGACUGCACUUGUGCUACUCCCG
RNAcentral lists this microRNA precursor (92 nucleotides) under Brugia malayi. RNAcentral describes it as "microRNA bma-mir-2b precursor (bma-mir-2b-1)". Its record names the gene bma-mir-2b-1. Lineage: Eukaryota; Metazoa; Nematoda; Chromadorea; Rhabditida; Onchocercidae. The record is from miRBase by way of RNAcentral.